This 325-nucleotide small RNA is filed under the name Cryptococcus neoformans H99. RNAcentral describes it as "Cryptococcus neoformans var. grubii H99 hypothetical RNA". Lineage: Eukaryota; Fungi; Basidiomycota; Tremellomycetes; Tremellales; Cryptococcaceae. The record is from RNAcentral.
CGAAACUGCUUUUCGAUCUAAACAAAGCAUGAUCUACACGGGAAACCAUUUGCUAUAUACUCGUCCUAGUUUGAGGGUUGUCGAUGGGUCCUUACAUCGCCCUCCCAUAGAACGGACAGACAUAUCAUUUCCCCAUUUUUUAUUGUGACGAUUUGUUACCAAUGGUCAAUCUGACGACGACAAUAGCUUGAAGACCUGGCAUCCUUUGUCCUAUGUACCAGUUUUUCACAACAUUAGACAUAAUAUGAGAGGGGAAAUCUAUUCGGCAAACGUUGUUGCUCCACCGUACGGGUAUUGUUGGUCAUUCUAUUGUUGCUUGUCAAAG